AGUGAACGCUGGCGGCAGGCCUAACACAUGCAAGUCGAGCGGCAGCGCGGGGGCAACCCUGGCGGCGAGCGGCGGACGGGUGAGGAAUUCGUCGGAAUCUGCCUUUUUGUGGGGGAUAACGUAGGGAAACUUACGCUAAUACCGCAUACGUCCUACGGGAGAAAGUGGGGGACCGCAAGGCCUCACGCAGAAAGAUGAGCCGACGACCGAUUAGCUAGUUGGUGGGGUAAAGGCCCACCAAGGCGACGAUCGGUAGCUGGUCUGAGAGGAUGAUCAGCCACACUGGGACUGAGACACGGCCCAGACUCCUACGGGAGGCAGCAGUGGGGAAUAUUGGACAAUGGGCGCAAGCCUGAUCCAGCCAUGCCGCGUGUGUGAAGAAGGCCUUCGGGUUGUAAAGCACUUUUGUCCGGAAAGAAAUCCCUGGAGCUAAUACCUUCGGGGGUUGACGGUACCGGAAGAAUAAGCACCGGCUAACUUCGUG
This 484-nucleotide ribosomal RNA is filed under the name uncultured bacterium. Its description in RNAcentral is "partial 16S ribosomal RNA". It matches the Rfam family "Bacterial small subunit ribosomal RNA", at positions 29 to 507 of the family's 1533-position model. The record is from RNAcentral.